AUACGUAGGGGGCGAGCGUUGUCCGGAAUGAUUGGGCGUAAAGGGCGCGUAGGCGGCUUUGCAAGUCAGUAGUGGAAGUCCAUUUUUCAAGGAUGGAAAUGCUACAGAAACUGCGGAGCUUGAGUGCAGGAGAGGUUAUCGGAAUUCCCGGUGUAGCGGUGAAAUGCGUAGAGAUCGGGAGGAACACCAGUGGCGAAGGCGGGUAAUUGGGCUGCAACUGAGGCUGGGGCGGGAAAGUGUGGGGAGAAAACAGGAUUAGAUACCCUGGUAGGCCACGCCGUAAACGAUGAAUACUAGGUGUAGGGGGUAUCGACUCCCUCUGUGCCGCAGUUAACACAAUAAGUAUUCCGCCUGGGGAGUACGGCCGCAAGGUUGAAACUCAAAUGAAUUGGCGGGG
RNAcentral lists this ribosomal RNA (397 nucleotides) under uncultured bacterium. RNAcentral's name for it is "partial 16S ribosomal RNA". It matches the Rfam family "Bacterial small subunit ribosomal RNA", at positions 523 to 918 of the family's 1533-position model. The record is from RNAcentral.